UUUUUAGCCGAACCGGCCGGUUCGGAGCCCGUACCGGCCGGUUCGGAGCCCGUACCGGCCGGUUCGGAGCCCGUACUGAUGCAUCUGGGAUUAGAUUGCAUGCUGGCCGGCAAGCUGAGUUGUUGAAUCAAAUAGUAUGCGAACUGCCACCGGAGCACCCUUUAUCUAGUGUUAGGCCUUUACGUGAACCUCUUGGACACACCCCACUUNNNNNNNNNNNNNNNNNNNNGUACCGGCCGGUUCGGAGCCCGUACCGGCCGGUUCGGAGCCCGUACCGGCCGGUUCGGAGCCCGUACCGGCCGGUUCGGAGCCCGUACCGGUGCGAACCGGCCGGUUUGCACCGGUACGUUUUUUUUUUUGGAACCACAGCGCCUCGCGCUGUGGUUUUUGAAACCACCGGUACCGGCCGGUACGUACUGUACCGGACCGGUACCGUACCGGUCCGGCUGGCCACCGGUACGCCGACCGGUACCGGUACGGCGGACCUUGAUAGAAACCUUUUAAUAUUAUUUAUUUCAUAGUCUCAAAGUUCAAGUUUAUUAGAGAUGAUACACAUAUUAGAUAAACCCAGAAAUAUAUUCUUGACAAUAAUCAUUUUGUCUCAUCAUUCAUAAACAAAACUCACUUAGAAGCAUCCUCUCAAAGCUAGGGUAAAUUCUUGGUGGAGAAGCUUAGGAAUUUAAUAUCAAGCUCCGUAACAGUACAGAGAAGAGAAUGAAAAUUAUAGAGCUCUUGAAUGUGGUGACUUCAGCAAUUGUUGGGACUAUAUGCAGCGAAGUGCUUAAUGGUAGAAAUUUACAUAUUUUACUGAUAGACAAUAAUUUUAUUUUGAUGUAAUUUGCAAUGCUCUUUCCUCAAUUGACCUUGCCAUUUCUUGUUCAGUUUGUGACUACAAUUCUCCAUAAAAACAUCCCAUUUGUUAUAUUUAAUCAUCAUAGAAUAAAGUUUGAAGAUGUCCGUCCUUGUGAUUUUGCAAUUUCUACUUACAAAUGCUUUUUCCCCUGUUGUUUCUGAAAUUUCUGCAACAGCAAAAACUACGUAAUAUCUUCUUUGAUUAGCUUUCAAUCUCAAUCAUCUACAUUUUCCUGCAGGUAAUGUAUGAUGCAUCUGGGAUUAGAUUGCAUGCUGGCCGGCAAGCUGAGGUAAACUCUGCUAAGACAGAAAACUACUCUUAGUAGGAACUAGCUCUAACACAUAGUCAACAACUCUCCAGUCGUUAUACAUAAUAUAUGGAGGGUAUUUUGUAGUUUUCUCAGCAUGCAGAAAUAUGCAAGGAAUAUUACCAUCUCCAUAGUUCCAUCUGAUCUUUGCUAGGCCAAUCUGAACUCGUAUAUGCACAUCAAAUGAUGUCAUGUGUUUAUGUUACUCUGAUUCAAAAAUUUAAUCAGCAAUAAUUCUUGAUGAUAAACAAUAUCUGCGCCACUGGUUUUUAUGCGUGAUUACUGGAUUAUUCACUACAUGGCAUAUAGGUUCUAAGUAAUUGACUUGCAUGACUUGACAACUUAACAUUAAGUCAUUAACCACAACAACUAUAUGUUAUGACUCGACUGACAAUCGUCAACAAUGUCUCUUUAAAAAGUUUCUGGUUUAUUCAGCCAAUUAAGGUUCACCAAUGUCGCCAAAAGAAGCUGUGCUAGAAAUUCCAGUAUCAGUUCUAAUAGUCUUAAUGUUCAUACUGAAUUUGUUUGUAUUUCUUUAUAGUAAAAACUUCAUGUCUUUACAUGAGGUAUAAUGGAACAUCAUAGACUGUAAACAAUAUCUGCAGGAUCUUAGUUUGUGAAACCUGUAUUGUGAGAAAUGUUUGAAAGUAGACUUGAAGCUAUCUAGCGUUCUCCAACAUUUCUUAGAACCCCCAACCAUGAUCAUACAAAAUCGAAGUCUGACUCAGGUAAAUGCUCUCUAGAGGCUGGAUUAUAAAAAUCAAUUUAAAUAAAAAGAAAAAUAUAACUACUCUCAAUGACCUGCUGUGAGUAGUUUUGAGUUGUUUUGGUCACAAUUGGUUGAAAUAACCAAACAUGGAGUCCAUCACUCGAUAUUGGAUGAAACUAGAUAUGAAAUACCAGAAACUGCUUAGACUCAUGUGGUUUUAUAUUAAAUUUGGCCAAAGCCAAAGUGUUUCAGUUGAAAACUUGUGGUUCAGUGAGGGUGUCUCCAAAGCCUUUAAACAUAAGAAGCAGACUGAGAUAUUUGCAAACUGUAGCCUCUUUGUCCCUUAUCUGCUGUCUUAUAUUAAAAAAAUAAAAUUUCUACAUCUUAUAAGGCAUAUUUUACAGUGUUAAAUAGAUGUCUCAUUCAAAAUGAAGCAUAAAUACAUGAAUUUAUGAUAGUAUGCAUUUGGGAAGCAUAUUAUAAUAUUUUUUGUUGGCCAGCUGGAACCAAACUUAACUUUUUUACUCCAAGAUUCAUACCAGAUAUAAAGUGAGCUUUUUGAUUGCAUUUCCAGAAAUUUUAAAAGAUAACAAAUUAUAACAGUAUAGCCCCAUGGUAGUUUUAGGUGGUCUCCUCUUCUUGCCUUAUGAAGCAUCAUUGCUACUAGAAAACUGCUGAUAAUUACUGAACUGGUGGAUGCCCAUCGCACUCUAGUCUCACAUUCUUGAAAAUCCUUUGGUUUGAAACAUAUGAAAAUAAAUUUAAAUGUCAUGUCAAGUAAAUUCUCAUAUAUGAUUUUUGUUCCAAGUUAUAGUAUUUCUUGUAAUGUGCUUCAUGGCACAUUGAUUUCAUAAGAUGAACAGAGACUAUUAAGAUAACAUUCAGCAUCAGGUUAUUCGUGGAUUGUCCUAGUGUUAUUGAUUUAUGUUAGUUUAAACUUGUGAUUUUGUUUGCUAUUAGGUCAUCCUUUCUACACAACAUUUAAUAGAUCCAUAAUCUGAUCAUGUUCCGAAAUAAUAGAUGACUUGUAAAAUAAUUUUGUAAGGAAAUUUAUUCUGUGGUCAUUGCUGCAGUUGUUGAAUCAAAUAGUAUGCGAACUGCCACCGGAGCACCCUUUAUCUAGUGUUAGGCCUUUACGUGAACCUCUUGGACACACCCC
RNAcentral lists this long non-coding RNA (3028 nucleotides) under Phoenix dactylifera (date palm). Its description in RNAcentral is "long non-coding RNA (PDAC_LNC003330)". Lineage: Eukaryota; Viridiplantae; Streptophyta; Magnoliopsida; Arecales; Arecaceae. The record is from RNAcentral.